Molecule: ribosomal RNA, 491 nt
Filed under: Hylophorbus sp. LAO-2013b
Lineage: Eukaryota; Metazoa; Chordata; Amphibia; Anura; Microhylidae
Description: partial 12S ribosomal RNA
Rfam family: Bacterial small subunit ribosomal RNA (bases 1-429)
Source: RNAcentral
ACUUGACGGUUUCCCAUCCUUCUAGAGGAGCCUGUUCUAUAAUCGAUUCUCCCCGAUCAACCAAACCACCCCUUGAACUCAGCCUGUAUACCUCCGUCGCAAGCUUACCGUGUGAACGCAUUUAGUGAGCUCAAAAACCCCCACGCCCACACGUCAGGUCAAGGUGCAGCCCAUGGGGUGGAAAGAAAUGGGCUACAAUCUCUAUCCUAGAACAAACGAAAGACUUUAUGAAAUACAGUCACUGAAGGCGGAUUUAGUAGUAAAAAGAAAAUAGAGAGUUCUUUUUAAUUAGGCCCUGGGAUGCGUACACACCGCCCGUCAUCCUCUUCAAAGGAUAUUCAUACUUUACUAACAUUAAAUACCCAAUACAGAAGAGGCAAGUCGUAACAUGGUAAGCGUACUGGAAAGUGUGCUUGGAACAACAAAAUGUAACUUAAUAAAAAGUAUCUUGCUUACACCAAGAAUAUGUCAAAAUCUGACCAUUUUUGAGC